RNAcentral lists this ribosomal RNA (398 nucleotides) under uncultured bacterium. Its description in RNAcentral is "partial 16S ribosomal RNA". It matches the Rfam family "Bacterial small subunit ribosomal RNA", at positions 360 to 775 of the family's 1533-position model. The record is from RNAcentral.
AAUCUGUCGCAAUGGGCGAAAGCCUGACGCAGCCAUGUCGCGCGAAUGAUGAAGGUCUUAGGAUUGUAAAAUUCUUUCACCGGGGACGAUAAUGACGGUACCCGGAUAAGAAGCCCCGGCCACCUUCGUGCCAGCAGCCGCGGUAAUACGAAGGGGGCCAGCGUUGCUCGGAAUUACUGGGCGUAAAGAGCGCGUAGGCGGCCGUUUAAGUCAGGGGUGAAAUCCCAGAGCUCAACUCUGGAACUGCCUUUGUUACUGGGUGUCUUGAGUGUGAGAGAGGUAUGUGGAACUCCGAGUGUAGAGGUGAAAUUCGUAGAUAUUCGGAAGAACACCAGUGGCGAAGACGACAUACUGGCUCAUUACUGACGCUGAGGCGCGAAAGCGUGGGGAGCAAACAG